CGGACGUGGCGGAAUUGGUAGACGCGCUAGAUUUAGGUUCUAGUAAGUUAACCUUGUGAGAGUUCGAGUCUCUCCGUCCGC
Molecule: transfer RNA, 81 nt
Filed under: Guillardia theta
Lineage: Eukaryota; Cryptophyceae; Pyrenomonadales; Geminigeraceae
Rfam family: tRNA
About the family: Transfer RNA (tRNA) molecules are approximately 80 nucleotides in length.
Source: RNAcentral